GGACGAACGCUGGCGGCGUGCUUAACACAUGCAAGUCGAGCGAUGAAGUUCCUUCGGGAAAUGGAUUAGCGGCGGACGGGUGAGUAACACGUGGGUAACCUGCCUCAUAGAGGGGAAUAGCCUUUCGAAAGGAAGAUUAAUACCGCAUAAGAUUGUAAUGUCGCAUGACAUAGCAAUUAAAGGAGUAAUCCGCUAUGAGAUGGACCCGCGUCGCAUUAGCUAGUUGGUGAGGUAACGGCUCACCAAGGCGACGAUGCGUAGCCGACCUGAGAGGGUGAUCGGCCACAUUGGGACUGAGACACGGCCCAGACUCCUACGGGAGGCAGCAGUGGGGAAUAUUGCACAAUGGGGGAAACCCUGAUGCCAGCAACGCCGCGUGAGUGAUGAAGGUCUUCGGAUUGUAAAGCUCUGUCUUUAGGGACGAUAAUGACGGUACCUAAGGAGGAAGCCACGGCUAACUACGUGCCAGCCGCCGC
Molecule: ribosomal RNA, 476 nt
Filed under: uncultured bacterium
Lineage: Bacteria
Description: bacterial SSU rRNA
Rfam family: Bacterial small subunit ribosomal RNA
Source: RNAcentral